UCCGAGUUGACCCCGGCAGUCUCUCACGAGUCCCCGCCAUUACGCGCUGGCAACAUAGAACGAGGGUUGCGCUCGUUGCGGGACUUAACCCAACAUCUCACGACACGAGCUGACGACAACCAUGCACCACCUGUGCACUAGCCCCGAAGGGGGGCCGUAUUUCUACGGCUUUCCAGUGCAUGUCAAGCCUUGGUAAGGUUCUUCGCGUUGCGUCGAAUUAAACCACAUGCUCCGCUGCUUGUGCGGGCCCCCGUCAAUUCCUUUGAGUUUUAGCCUUGCGGCCGUACUCCCCAGGCGGGGCACUUAAUGCGUUAGCGUCGGCACGGGAGGAGUCGACACCUCCCACACCUAGUGCCCAUCGUUUACGGCGUGGACUAC
This 378-nucleotide unclassified non-coding RNA is filed under the name uncultured Actinomycetes bacterium. Its description in RNAcentral is "uncultured actinobacterium contains 16S-23S intergenic spacer region". The record is from RNAcentral. Lineage: Bacteria; Bacillati; Actinomycetota; Actinomycetes.